This 460-nucleotide ribosomal RNA is filed under the name uncultured fungus. Its description in RNAcentral is "eukaryotic LSU rRNA". The stretch from base 81 to 234 matches the Rfam family "5.8S ribosomal RNA". The record is from RNAcentral. Lineage: Eukaryota; Fungi.
CACUUCCAAGUCUAUGUUUUCAUAUACCCUUUAUAAUUGAAGUCGAUGAAUGUAUUAGGCUUUGGCCAAUAAAACAAUACAACUUUCAACAAUGGAUCUCUUGGUUCUCGCAUCGAUGAAGAACGCAGCGAAUUGCGAUAUGUAAUGUGAAUUGCAGAAUUCAGUGAAUCAUCGAAUCUUUGAACGCACCUUGCGCCCUUUGGUAUUCCGAAGGGCAUGCCUGUUUGAGUGUCAUUAAAUUCUCAACUUCAACACUUUUUUGUAUUGAAGCUUGGAUGUUGGAGGGUCUUGCGGGCAUAUAUUAAUGUCAGCUCCUCUUAAAUGCAUUAGCAGAACCUGUGUUCGGCUCUGGUUUGAUAAUCCUAUCUAUGCCAUUGCUGAAAUGUCAUUGUUCAGCUUCUAAUGGUCCAUUGGACUGUCUCUUCAGAGGCAUAUAUUUUGACUUGACCUCAAAUCAGGU